RNAcentral lists this ribosomal RNA (498 nucleotides) under uncultured bacterium. RNAcentral describes it as "partial 16S ribosomal RNA". It matches the Rfam family "Bacterial small subunit ribosomal RNA", at positions 899 to 1397 of the family's 1533-position model. The record is from RNAcentral.
ACUCAAAGGAAUUGACGGGGACCCGCACAAGCGGUGGAGCAUGUGGUUUAAUUCGAUGCAACGCGAAGAACCUUACCUGGUCUUGACAUCCUCGGAACUUGUCAGAGAUGACUUGGUGCCUUCGGGAACCGAGAGACAGGUGCUGCAUGGCUGUCGUCAGCUCGUGUCGUGAGAUGUUGGGUUAAGUCCCGCAACGAGCGCAACCCUUGUCCCUAGUUGCCAUCAUUCAGUUGGGCACUCUAGGGAGACCGCCGGUGACAAAUCGGAGGAAGGUGGGGACGACGUCAAGUCAUCAUGGCCCUUAUGACCAGGGCUACACACGUGCUACAAUGGCCAGUACAGAGGGUUGCCAACCCGCAAGGGGGAGCUAAUCCCAGAAAGCUGGUCGUAGUCCAGAUCGGAGUCUGCAACUCGACUCCGUGAAGUCGGAAUCGCUAGUAAUCGCGAAUCAGCAUUGUCGCGGUGAAUACGUUCCCGGGUCUUGUACACACCGCCCGU